CUAUGUCAGUUUUCCAUGAGAAUCCUCUGCCUGUACAAUAAUAAGUCUACAUGUAAACAAACCCAAAGUUGUGGACUGGAGCUUGGGGUCUCAUUUUUCAGUGUGUAGGUUUCUAGUCCCUACCCCUUUCAGUUCAGCCUCCUCACCUUUCUGCUGUCCUGAGUGUGAAGGAUAGCAGAUGUCUAUCCUUCACAUUGAAUCCUCUGAUUCAGUGUCUCCAGAGAAUAAACCUCCCAUCUCUGUUGAGGUAAGGGUGGGCCGCACAGGCUCUAACUGAUUCUCAAACCAACUUUAAACCAGACCUUCUGUUUUCAGCCCUAUCUGCACAACUACCUUCAGAGGCAUCUUGCAUUUUUAAUUUCUGACACUUUUGGAGUUCCUCAAUGCAAGUGGAAGUUGCUUUUUUUGGCUCUCCCCUGAACUUGUAGAGUACAUAGUUUUCAUCUUUAUUCAGUCUUCUAAGUGAAUUUUCUCAUGUCCAUAUUCUCUCUAAUUUUUCCCAAUUUUCUUGCCAUCUCUGGUCAGCUGUUAUCUUCUCUUUUUUUUCUUUUACAGUUUGUAUUUUUUUAAUCUAUGCAUUAUCAUUUUAGAGAAAUAAGGAGAAGCAAAGAUAAGCAUAUACAUUUAAUCCACUGCACUUAACUAGGAGUUUGUAUUUAAUAAUCCACUUUAAUCAGAUGUCUACCUAACAUUUUAUUGAAUCUUUUCUGCCUCCUUGCUUUUCAGGUUUUUUUUUUUUCUAUUCUUGUAUCUACCAUGUAGGCUUGCCUAUUAUCUUCAUUUAGCAUCCUCAGGCAAAGCUAUUUUUUAUCAUUGCCCUUCCAUUGCACUGUGUACAAUGCUGCUCUUGCUGCCUUGAGUACAUAUUGAUGUAGUACAAAUAUGUGGAUGGAUGGCUGUCUUCUGUUUCUCUGGGUGGGGAAUUUUUCUACACCCAGGGUCCAACAUGGGGCCCGCUACUGACUCAUGUUCCUUAAACUUUAUUGAAUGAAAAAAAAAUGCCUCAGAAAAUUUAAUGGGAAACUCAAUGCAAAGACCUGAAUGUCCAUGGGCCAGUCAAGCUAUAUUCAGUAUCAGGAUUUAGAAGCUUCAGAGAUCAUCUAUUUAAACUACUUUGUUUUACAAAUGAGAAAACUAAAGCCUAAAUGAGGAAAAUAAAACUUAUUAUAUGGUAUAUAGCAGGGACUUUAAUUCACAUUUUCUAAGAUCCUCACCCACAGAUAUUUCUUCCACAAUCUAUUUCUUUAAGCAAUGACAUUUUGAUAACCAGAAGUCAGCAUAUUAAUGGCUCUAUUGUAAACAAUACAUUUUGUUUUUGUUACUGAAUCUAAUUACGUUUGUGAAACAUGAUACAGAUAGCUGUGUACAAAACAAACUGAGGUUAGGAAACUUCAGCAAACCAGAUAAAAGGCUGAUGUUGGAAACCAUGUGAAAUGAUAAAGAUCUGAACUAAGAUGGCAUAUGGAGAAAAAUAUUGAUGGGAUAUAUCAAAAAGCAGAAGAGAGAGAUGCAUUAAAUAAUAGGCAGGAUAAGGAGGAUGUUUGUACCAUUUUCAACAAUAGGAGCAAGUGAUGGCUCUCUAGUGAGUGACUUUGAUAAAAGCCUGUCUAGUCAAACCCCAGAAGAAACUGAACAUUGGUGGAUGAUGGAUUUGGGUUCCAAAUGGACUAUGAAUGUUGUGUCAGUCACCAACUGAAGAGAAUGUAUUCAUGGACAAAUAAAGACACUUGCGAUUUUAAUUGGGUACUCACUUGCUCAGAGUGGCAAGACAAAUUCCAGGUGGCUGUCAUCUCAUUGUGCUCACAUAACCUUCUUAGUGCAUGCAUGAGCAGGAGAAAAAGAGAAAGCAAGCUCUCCGGUGUCUCCUCUUACAAAGGCCCUAAUCCCAUUAUGAAAGUCCCACCCUUAUGAUCUCAUCUAACCCUAAUUACCUCCCAAAGGCCUCAUCUUCACAUAUCAUCACAUUGGAGAAAGGGGCUUCAACAUAUUAAUUUAGGGAGACACAAACAUUCAGUUCAUAACACGUCUAGUGUGUUGAAGAAAUAUCCAGAAGGCCAGUGAAGCUAAAGCAGACUUGGUGAAGGAAACAAUGGUAGGACAUGAGAUCAGAGGGUCUGUUAGCUUGAAAUAUUGGGAACUACUGGAAAAGCAUUACCCUUAUUGUAAAUGAGAUGGGAGCCACUGAAGGGUUUUGAACUAAGAGGUAAUAUAAUCUGAAUUAUGAUUUAAAAGGGGCAUUUUAUCUGUUGUAAGGAGCAUAACCUAUAGGGUGCAAGAAUGCAAGAGAUGAUGGUCAUUUGAACCAGAGUGGUAGCAAUAGCAAUGGUGAGAAGCAGUUGGAUUCUGGAUGUAUUUUGAAGGUAAAGCCAACCUAUUGGAAAUUAGAGAGGGAUUAGAUGUACAGUAUAAAAGAGAAAGAAGAGUUAACUGUAGCUUGAGAAACUAGAGUUGUGAAGGGAUGUACUUGUCAUUAUUGAUGUGGGGAAGACUAGGGGAGGAGCAGGAUUAAGAAGGGGGCAGAGAAAAACAGGAGUGUGGUUUUGGACAUGUUAAACUGAAAAUUUGUAUUAGACAUCCAGGUGGAAAUGUCAGGUAGGCAGUUGUACAUAAAAUUCUUGAGGUUAGGGGAAAGGUCAAAGCUGGAAAUAUAUAUAUAUAUAUAUCAGUGUCACCAGCAUAUAGAUCGUAUUUGAGGCUUUGAGCUCUACGAGAUCAUCAAGGAAGUGAGCAUACCUAAAAAAUAGAAGACGGCUAGGUAUGAGCUGACAGGUG
RNAcentral lists this long non-coding RNA (2772 nucleotides) under Homo sapiens (human). Its description in RNAcentral is "HSALNT0366894". The record is from RNAcentral. Lineage: Eukaryota; Metazoa; Chordata; Mammalia; Primates; Hominidae.